This 289-nucleotide long non-coding RNA is filed under the name Panax ginseng (ginseng). RNAcentral's name for it is "long non-coding RNA (PGIN_LNC009861)". Lineage: Eukaryota; Viridiplantae; Streptophyta; Magnoliopsida; Apiales; Araliaceae. The record is from RNAcentral.
AGGAAAAGAUGCUUGAAGUCUGUGAUGGAUUAGGACCUAUAUACAGAUGUAUUACUUUAGAUUAGAGUAACAAUUUAUCAUGAAAGAUAUCGAGUGUAAUCUAGGGACUAGGGUUCAGAAAGCUCUCAAUUUGGAGUGUUCUGCACAGUUUUAUGUACUCCCUCGGUUUGAGUUCACUCAUUCUUACCCAAUGUUAACGCCAAGAUCUUCUACCACGUCCCAAUCACGUAAGACGUUCUGAUCCUGCACAGUUCAACAAGUCAACAAUCAAAGCUUGACGUGAUAUCCC